AGCGCGGGCCUCUGGGUUCCGAGGGUGCUGGUGACCUGAGAAGAAGGGAGGGGACAGAGGAGGAGACACACCUGAUCAGCCCGGGAGACUUUGGAGGAGGCGGGCCGGCCGGGAGGAAGUGGCGGGGAGGAGGGACCGGAGCACCCCAGGAUCGAAGAGGGCGCACGGGCCCGGCCCUCCCACGCGCCCUCCAGGGACCCGGCAGCCAGACAGACGGACAGGCGGACCGCUAGGGAGCUCAAGUACCCGGACACACGCACGAGCGCAGAACAAAGGGCCGGACAUGCUCCAGCCCGCUCCGCCUGCGCCUCGGCCUUGCGCGCGGGGGCCCGGGUUACCUGCGCAGAGCCAGCUGUGAUGUAAAGAAGUUUGUGCUGCAUGAGAGAGAUAGCACCUGAAGAAAAUGAGGCCCUGGAGGAUGAGAGACUCUAAAGGAAAAGGGAAGGGCCUGCUGUCUUCCAGCCACGCCAGCCCCCAACUGAGAAGCUGGUGCCCUUGGUGUGGUGGAAGCAAGGUGCCAUGUGAUAAGUAAGCCUCCAGAGAGGCCUGCAUGGCAGGAUCCAAUGUCUUUAGCCAACAGCAUCUGGGAACCUGAGACCUGCCAACACCCUUGUGAGUGAGCCUGGAAGUGGACCUCCUGCUCUUGAACCUUGAGGUGACUAUAGUGCUGGCUGACACCUUGACUGCAGUCCCUGAGCUGGGGGGCCCAGCUGAUCUACUCCCAGAAUCCCCCCUACUAAAACAGUGAUAUAAUAAAUGCUUAUUGUUUCAAGCUGGUAA
RNAcentral lists this long non-coding RNA (780 nucleotides) under Homo sapiens (human). Its description in RNAcentral is "HSALNT0380893". The record is from RNAcentral. Lineage: Eukaryota; Metazoa; Chordata; Mammalia; Primates; Hominidae.